UAUGUUAAUAUAACAGUUAGUAGUAGUGUAACAUAAUAUAUAUUAGUAGUAAUAAAGAAUAUUCGGUAAUGAUGGUAUAAUUUCUUAUAGUUUGUAAUAUGUACAACUUUAGAAUAGAAGAGUAAAAAAAUUUAUGAUACUUUUUCUGUUUUAAACAGAACAUCAUAUUUAUACAUAAUCCACUCUAUUAUAUUUUAUUAAAUAUAAGUAGUAGGAUUAUACCUCUUCCAACCACAUUUUAAAUCGUUUAUGACGUUGAACAUAGCAUUAGAAAAAAAAACCCUGGUUUAUUUUUCUUUUGCAACAUAUAUACUAAUAUGGUAUGGUAUGUAUGAAAGUCAUGUAGUUGGUUAACUAUAAAGGGAUGUAGGAUAUAGGUAAAAGUAUAAUAAUAGUGAGAUUAUUUAUGCAUAUAUAUAUGUGUGUGGAUGGUACUAGGGCGGAUAUAAUUGGUACUAAAUAAUCAUGAAAAAGACUACGUAUAUAUAAUGUCAUUAUAAAAGGUAAUGACAUUAUAUAUAAAAGGAACCUCAUAUAUGUAUUUGUUAAAGAUGCAUAUAUGAGGUGGGGAAAUAGGAAGAUGGGUACAUGGGGGUAUAUGGGUAUAGGUACAUGUGUACAGGCAUAUGGGAAUACAGAAGUACAGGAGUACGUAAGUACCGGGGUACAUGGGUACAUGAGUACGGGGGCACAGGCACAUGGGUACAGGCGCAUGGGAAUACAUGAGUACGGGGAUACAGAAAUGCCGGGGUACAUGGGUACACGAGUACGGGGGCACAGGCACAUGGGUACAGGCGCAUGGGAAUACAGAAGUACAGGUGUACGUCAGUACCAGGGUACAUGGGUACCUGAGUACGGGGAAUAGGGGUACAGGCGCAUGGGAAUACAGAAGUACAGGUGUACGUCAGUACCAGGGUACAUGGGUACCUGAGUACGGGGAAUAGGGGUACAGGCACAGGGGAAUACAGAAGUACAGGUGUACGUCAGUACCAGGGUACAUGGGUACCUGAGUACGGGGAAUAGGGUUACAUGGGGCGAACACAGAGGAACAUAGAGAGGAGAGCUACAAAAAAAAUGUGCAAAACUGAUACAGAAAGCGGCACAGGAGCAGCCAAUAUGCACAUAGGGAAAUACAGAAAACUAUUCAAAAAUUCUAAAGCACGUUUAUAAUCAGUUUGGUGCUUUAGAAAAAUGUCUUUCUAUUAUGGGUAUUGAAUAAAUUGUAAUUUUACUUAUAAUUUAUUUGUGUUUUAUUAUAUGGAAACAUAUAAUAAUGAAUUAAAUGUAUUUGUUUGUUUAUUUACAUGUGUGUACAUAUAUACAAAUGGAUAAACUGCGUUUUUUUUUUUUUUCUUGUGUUUAAUUAAUGAUUUUAAUUUUUUACAUAAAUAUAUAUAUAAUAUAUGUAUAUUUUACUCUUAAGUAUAAUAUGCCAUAUUAUUUCUAAUUUUUAUCUUAGAUAACAUUUGUUUUAGAUUUAGAUUUUUUUUAGGGUCUAGUCUGGCGUUUAAAAGGAUUUAACUAUUUUCUCGUAAUUAUAGUUAAUUCUUUUGAUGUUUGAGUAUUCAGAACGUAUAACAUUUAUUUUGUUAUAAGAAGACACGAUUAUUUUUAUAAUAACAUGCAUGAAGGUAAUGUAGGUAAAACAUUUUAUAAUUGUUAUUAUAAUAAUGAAAAAAUUAAAGAAAAAAUUAAAGAAAAAAUUAAAGAAAAAAUUAAAGAAAAAAUAAAAAAAAAAAUUAAAGAAAACAUAAAAAAAAACAUAAAAAAAAAAAUAAAAGAAAAAUAAAAAAAAAAAUAAAAGAAAAAAUAAAAGAAAAAAUAAAAGAAAAAAUAAAAGAAAAAAUAAAAGAAAAAAUAAAAGAAAAAAUAAAAGAAAAAAUAAAAGAAAAAUAAAAGAAAAAAUAAAAGAAAAAAUAAAAGAAAAAAUAAAAGAAAAAAUAAAAGAAAAAAUAAAAGAAAAAAUAAAAGAAAAAAUAAAAGAAAAAAUAAAAGAAAAAAUAAAAGAAAAAAUAAAAGAAAAAAUAAAAGAAAAAAUAAAAGAAAAAAUAAAAGAAAAAAUAAAAGAAAAAAUAAAAGAAAAAAUAAAAGAAAAAAUAAAAGAAAAAAUAAAAGAAAAAAUAAAAGAAAAAAUAAAAGAAAAAAUAAAAGAAAACCUUAUAUAUGUGUAUAUACAAUUUUUAACUUAUAAAAAUAAACGUUUUCAUAUACAUGACGUUUUAUGCUUUUUUAUACAUUUCAUUUAUGCCUGUGUUAUAGUGUUGCAUAUAAAAAAAAAUACAUUUGCCUAUUGUAAAGAGGUAAAUUGAGUUUUAUGUUUGAUUAUAUUGUAUUUUAAGUGAAUAAUUAAAAUAUAAUAUAUAGAAUCUAUGUUAGUAUAAAAUGUAGUAUAAAUAGUGAUUGUUUAUAUUUUCAUAUCAUGUUGUGUAUAUUUAUUGUUGAAAAUAAGAAGAAAUAUAUAUGUCUGUCUAAAUAAAUAAUUAAUAAUUACAUAAAUAUUUUUUUUAAUAAGUCUUAAAUUUAUAAUUAAUAAUUACAUAAAUAAAUAUUUUUUUUAAUAAGUCUUAAAUUUAUAAUUAAUAAUUACGUGAAUAAAUGAAUAAAUAUUUUUUUUGAUAAGUCUUAAAUUUAUAAUUAAUAAUUACGUGAAUAAAUGAAUAAAUAUUUUUUUAAUAAGUCUUAAAUUUAUAAUUAAUAAUUACGUGAAUAAAUGAAUAAAUAUUUUUUUAAUAAGUCUUAAAUAUAUAAUUAAAUGUGUUACAUGAAUAAAAUUUUUUUUAAUAAGACUAAAUAUAUAAUUAAAUGUGUUACAUGAAUAAAAUUUUUUUUAAUAAAACUUAAAUUUAUAAUUAAAUGUGUUACAUGAAUAAAUAUGUACAGUUAUACAAAUAAAAAUGACGCUACAUUAUUAUUAUAUUAAUAAUGAUAUAUUGAAGAUUAAAUAACGAUAUUGCGGAGGAACAGUGACAAGACAAAUAAAUAAUAGUAUAUAUUAGUAUAUAUAUAUAUAUAUAUGUGAAGAUGGAUAUUCAAAUAUUGAAGAAGGUUGGAUUUAUUGAAUGAAUGAAAAUCUAUGAAGAAACAUAAUUGUUUAUUAUAUAAACCUUGGAAUAUAAUAUAUUGGAACAUAAAAAUCAAUAACUUUAUUUUUUUUUUAAUUUUUUAUGUAUCAAUAUAUAUAUAUAUAUUUUUUUUUUAUAUUAACAAUAAUAAUUUUAUUAUAACUAUUAAUAAUAUUUAUUAAGAAUUUUUUUUUAUUAUUACA
Non-coding RNA from Plasmodium billcollinsi, 3265 nucleotides. The record is from the annotation of a GenBank genome assembly. NCBI's taxonomy places the organism in Eukaryota, Apicomplexa, Aconoidasida, Haemosporida, Plasmodiidae.